CAGAGGUGAUGAACUGUCUUAGCCUGACCUUAUUGGGGGCAGAAGCCUGACUUAGUGGGCCUGGCCC
RNAcentral lists this small nucleolar RNA (67 nucleotides) under Prolemur simus (greater bamboo lemur). Lineage: Eukaryota; Metazoa; Chordata; Mammalia; Primates; Lemuridae. The record is from RNAcentral.